GACGAACGCUGGCGGCGUGCUUAACACAUGCAAGUCGAACGGAAAGGCCCUGCUUUUGUGGGGUGCUCGAGUGGCGAACGGGUGAGUAACACGUGAGUAACCUGCCCUUGACUUUGGGAUAACUUCAGGAAACUGGGGCUAAUACCGGAUAGGAGCUCCUGCUGCAUGGUGGGGGUUGGAAAGUUUCGGCGGUUGGGGAUGGACUCGCGGCUUAUCAGCUUGUUGGUGGGGUAGUGGCUUACCAAGGCUUUGACGGGUAGCCGGCCUGAGAGGGUGACCGGCCACAUUGGGACUGAGAUACGGCCCAGACUCGUACGGGAGGCAGCAGUGGGGAGUAUUGCACAAUGGGCGGAAGCCUGAUGCAGCGGCGCCGCGUGCGGGAUGACGGCCUUCGGGUUGUGAACCGCUUUCGCCUGUGACGAGGCGUGAGUGACGGUAAUGGGUAAAGAAGCACCGGCUAACUACGUG
RNAcentral lists this ribosomal RNA (468 nucleotides) under uncultured bacterium. RNAcentral's name for it is "partial 16S ribosomal RNA". It matches the Rfam family "Bacterial small subunit ribosomal RNA", at positions 28 to 507 of the family's 1533-position model. The record is from RNAcentral.